Molecule: unclassified non-coding RNA, 380 nt
Filed under: uncultured bacterium
Lineage: Bacteria
Description: contains 16S-23S intergenic spacer region
Source: RNAcentral
UCCGGUUCUUCACCAGCAGUCUCGCCAGAGUCCCCAUCAUUACAUGCUGGUAACUGGCAAUAAGGGUUGCGCUCGUUACGGGACUUAACCCAACAUCUCACAACACGAGCUGACGACAGCCAUGCAGCACCUGUCUAAUGGCUCCUUUCGGCACUUCCGCAUCUCUGCAGAAUUCCAUCGAUGUCAAGGGCAGGUAAGGUUCCUCGCGUUGCAUCGAAUUAAUCCGCAUGCUCCGCCGCUUGUGCGGGCCCCCGUCAAUUCCUUUGAGUUUUAGCCUUGCGGCCGUACUCCCCAGGCGGGGCGCUUAAUGCGUUAGCUGCGGCACGGAACUCGUGGAAUGAGCCCCACACCUAGCGCCCAACGUUUACGGUGUGGACUAC